GGACUACUCGGGUAUCUAAUCCGGAUCGCUCCCCACGCUUUCGCUCCUCAGUGUCAGAACCGGUCCAGGAAGCCGCCUUCGCCACUGGUGUUCCUCCCGAUAUCUACGCAUUCCACCACUACACCGGGAAUUCCGCUUCCCCCUACCGGCCUCGAGCCCGCCAGUAUCGAAUGACCCCUCCCAGUUGAGCCGGGAGAUUUCACAUCCGACUUGACGUGGCCACCUACAAGCCUUUUACGCCCAAUAAAUCCGGACAACGCUCGCCCCCUACGUAUUACCGCGGCGGCUGGCAC
This 293-nucleotide ribosomal RNA is filed under the name uncultured bacterium. RNAcentral describes it as "partial 16S ribosomal RNA". The record is from RNAcentral.